This 336-nucleotide ribosomal RNA is filed under the name uncultured eukaryote. RNAcentral's name for it is "partial 18S ribosomal RNA". It matches the Rfam family "Eukaryotic small subunit ribosomal RNA", at positions 1470 to 1796 of the family's 1831-position model. The record is from RNAcentral.
CUCUUCGAUGUUCUGGGCUGCACGCGCGCUACAGUGGCAAAGACAGAGAGCAUGAAUUAAUUAUAGAGUCGCAUCGAGGGAUGUGACGAAUCAGCAAUCGUUGUCGUGAUUGGGAUUGAGCGUUGUAAUAUUUGCUCAUGAAAGAGGAAUUCCUCGUAAGCGCGAGUCACUAACUCGUGUUAAUUACGUCUCUGCCCUUUGUACACACCGCCCGUCGCUCCUACCGAUUGAGUGGUCCGGUGAGGCUUUGGGAUCUGAGCGGAAAGAGCGUUUCGCUGUUUCUGCUCGGAAAACUCAGUCGAACCUUAUCAUUUAGAGGAAGGAGAAGUCGUAACA